UACAGAGGGUGCGAGCGUUGUUCGGAAUUAUUGGGCGUAAAGAGCGCGUAGGCGGUCUGCUAAGUCUGAUGUGAAAGCCCUCGGCUUAACCGAGGAAGUGCAUUGGAUACUGGUAGGCUUGAGUGUGAGAGAGGGUAGUGGAAUACCUGGUGUAGCGGUGAAAUGCGUAGAUAUCAGGUGGAACACCGGUGGCGAAGGCGGCUACCUGGAUCAUAACUGACGCUGAGGCGCGAAAGCAUGGGGAGCAAACAGG
RNAcentral lists this ribosomal RNA (253 nucleotides) under uncultured bacterium. RNAcentral describes it as "partial 16S ribosomal RNA". It matches the Rfam family "Bacterial small subunit ribosomal RNA", at positions 524 to 776 of the family's 1533-position model. The record is from RNAcentral.